RNAcentral lists this ribosomal RNA (504 nucleotides) under Triticum aestivum (bread wheat). Its description in RNAcentral is "partial small subunit ribosomal RNA". Lineage: Eukaryota; Viridiplantae; Streptophyta; Magnoliopsida; Poales; Poaceae. The record is from RNAcentral.
AUGGACAAGCGUCCCCGGCAGGCAUAUGUUGUUGUUCACAAUGUUGACUCGGACACAGUUGAAGAAAGCACUUCAGACGGUGAUGCUGAAGAAGAGAUGAUAGAUGGAGACAUGUCAGAUGUGGAUGAAGACGGUGACAACAUAAAGAUCGAGUAUACAAGGGGUCUAACUCUGAAUGAUGCACAGCAGGACAUUCUCAAUGAACUUGUGCUCAGCUUCAAGUCCAAGUUUUUAGGAGUGUCUUUUGUACACUGUCUUACUACAACCGACACUCAAGUUGGACAAAUGAAAGUGCCAGAGAGGGUUGCUACAAGCUUGAACAUCCCUAAAGAAGGGCUGGCUGGGGUUCGUCUAAGUAGUGGGGAGGCAAAGACUCGCGUUGAAUACAACACGUCUACUGAUGGAGGUAUAGCCUUCAACAAAAAGCAAUGGAGGCGUUUCCUUUCAAAGACUCCCCUGGAGACCAAUGACUGCAUCUUCAUGUUCUUCAAGGCACUAACCUGA